CAGAGGCUGGAGAAUCUCUGUGGUUUCCCCCCUCCUUUGGAGAGAGGGAUCCUUUUUUUGUCCCCCACCGGGCCACCGGGGGGGAAUUUUCCGCUGGGCAGAAUCAAUAGUUUCCUGAAUAAGCCGGAGUCACUUGGGCUGCAGAGAUGUUGGAAGAAGAUAUGGAGGUGGCCAUCAAGGUGGUGGUGGUAGGGAACGGAGCCGUUGGGAAGUCCAGUAUGAUUCAGCGAUACUGCAAGGGCAUCUUUACAAAAGACUACAAGAAGACUAUUGGUGUGGAUUUCCUGGAACGACAGAUCCAAGUUAACGAUGAAGAUGUCAGACUAAUGCUAUGGGACACUGCGGGUCAAGAGGAGUUUGAUGCAAUAACUAAAGCCUACUAUAGAGGAGCCCAGGCUUGUGUUCUGGUGUUUUCUACGACGGACAGAGAGUCCUUCAAAGCAAUCCCCACCUGGAAGGAGAAGGUCGUGAACGAAGUUGGAGACAUUCCCACAGUUCUUGUGCAGAAUAAGAUUGAUCUUCUUGAUGACUCUUGUAUAAAGAAUGAGGAGGCAGAAGCACUGGCAAAAAAGCUAAAAUUAAGGUUCUACCGGACAUCUGUGAAGGAAGACCUGAACGUGACUGAAGUUUUUAAAUAUUUGGCUGAUAAAUACCUUCAAAGGCUGAAGCAACAAACGGUGGAAGAUCCAGAACUAGCGCACACGAGCAGUAACAAGAUCGGUGUUUUUAACACAGCUGGUGGAAGUCACUCCAACCAGAAUUGUAGCACUCUUAACGGCGGAGACGUCGUCAACCUCAGACCAAACAAGCAGAGGACCAAGAAAAGCAGAAGCCCUUUCAGCAGCUGCAGCGUCCCUUAGUCUGCUCUCGGUGGAGGAGGAAACCCCCCCGGUGGAUUGGAUGAAGUUGUGCAAUUGAGUUCCCGAAUAAAGCCACCCCUAGAGUCUUAACAGGUGGAAAAGUAACACAGUCUUUGACGCUAGUAGUUAUUCAGAGGGAACAUAAAAUCCUACUCCUGUUCAGAUUUGAUCGUUGUAUCCUGUGUUGUCUAUGGAAAAGGAACUCGUGGAGUGGUGUCACAAAAUACUUAUCUUCUUUGGAAAAACUUUUUCAUCGAUACCAUAAACUAAGUUAUGGAGGAUCCAAAAAAACUGCAGCUGAUGACUGAGUUACCUUAAUGAGACAUUCUUGAGUGUUCUCUCCAAGUUAGCUGCUGCUUACAGAAAACCUAAUUCUGCAAGAUCCAGAGACACGGCAAAAAUUUUUCCAAGUGCUUAAGUAAUUUUACAGAAUUGAUGUAGAUGUUUAGGAGCCCAAAUCUAAAUUAAAAGUUAUUUGGGCUUAGGCUCCUAAAUCACUAAGGUGCUUUUAAAAAUGCUGAGCAAGGUAUCUUUUCUUUACCAAAAAUAAACACUUUUUAAUCCUCUUCGAGAGCAUGCAUGCCUUUAAAAAAAUAUCCAUUUUGUUUACAUGUUUUUGUAUGGUAUGAUAUAAUUUUAACUUUCUAGGAUUUCUACGACAAACCUGCCGGUGACAAAUGCAAAAUAUGCUGCUUGAAAAAAAUUCAGAGUUUUAAUAGUUUUUUAAGUGGUGCGUGAGAAUGAAAAUGAGCUGAGUGAUCCUGUAUAUUUUUGGAGGAAGGACUUUUCACUGUGUGAAUUCCUGUAGGAAGCUUGACUGACUUUGUUUCUAAGUCAAUGAGUAUGAAAACUGAAAUGGACUCUUGUUUUUUUCCCCCCCUGUCUGCAGGGAGAGAAGUGGGUGGCAAGUUAUGCACAAACACUAAAGCUCUGUGAACUCUGUAUUUCGUGUUGUUUACUGUGUUAGACUUUCUUUGGCAAAGCUGGUAGAGCAUCUCCUGUUGCUGGCGAGAAGGUGGCCUUCAAGGCGCUCCAUCCCCUUUGCUGUUGGAAACUGUGUGUUCUUCACCAUAACGUUUCCUGUCUUUUCUCUUGGAUAAAGGCCUUUCUUUUUGAACAAGUGCAUUUAAUCACUGGAUGGAUGGAUGGAUGGAUAAAUGGAGUCGAGUCCUAUCCGUCUCAGCAAUUUCAGAAGUAAGGUACUUAGGAUAAGGCUUAGGAUUGUGCGUCACGGGGGGUCACCUUCAGCUUCAGGAGGUAGGACGGAGUGUGUGCAUGAAGAAUUUUGACAACUGUUUUUAAGAUGGAAACUUUCACCUUUUGUUGUCUGCCUGCGGGUGUAACGUUUUGUAUUCAUUCUUCUCGAAACAAAAACCACAAAGUGUCUGAAACAUCUUUUUUUUUUUUGCCUUGUUUGAUUUUGUACAGAGGACUGAAAAAUAAGUCUUUAUUCCGUAUAAUGACCAUUUGUACUAUGACAUGUAAUAAUGUAGACAUUAUCACACAAGCCAUUUGCAUCCAACGUCUUGUCAUUACAAACCGCUGUUUUAAGGACUGAAAACUCAGUAGAAACGUUCUUAGGUGGAGACUUGACAGACUUGCUAAAUUUAGGAUACGUUGAAAUCUAGUACAGGUACUUUAAUGUAGGAGUAGGUGUUUGCAGCAUUGCAUGACAGUGUUGAUUUUGACCCAAAGUGGCUCGCUCUUCCCCGUGACGUUGCGGUGCGUGUUCUCCGGACGGAGCUGUCCACCUCGGCCUUUUUCUGGAAGUGCUCUGCAUGCGACGCUGCUUGAAAAUGGAAUUUUUAUCCUGCUGGGGUUAGUGUGUAGAGGUAAACCAGGUGAUUUGCACACUGAGGGAAUCCUUUAGGUAUCCACGUCGCUACUCAGCAGGAGUAACUUGCGCUUUUUGGGUGAAGAGACGUGCCUAAACAUUUUAGCCCUCGCACUGUCCCCUGGGAAUAAUUAUUAUUAUAAACACUGCCCCAUUCUCAUUAAAAUAUCAUAUAUUUUAGUUCCCGAAACCUACAGGUGCAGAGCUGCUCUGUGCCCCCGUGUGACUGCGUGGUGGAAGAGGGUGUAGCUGUUACACCGGCUGCCCGAAU
Molecule: RNA transcript, 2965 nt
Organism: Calidris pugnax (ruff)
Lineage: Eukaryota; Metazoa; Chordata; Aves; Charadriiformes; Scolopacidae
Gene: RAB23
Gene name: RAB23, member RAS oncogene family
Exons: 8
Source: RefSeq, a predicted model, not a curated record